RNAcentral lists this ribosomal RNA (483 nucleotides) under uncultured bacterium. RNAcentral describes it as "partial 16S ribosomal RNA". It matches the Rfam family "Bacterial small subunit ribosomal RNA", at positions 28 to 523 of the family's 1533-position model. The record is from RNAcentral.
GACGAACGCUGGCGGCGUGCUUAACACAUGCAAGUCGAACGAUGAAGCUGAGCUUGCUCCGGUGGAUUAGUGGCGAACGGGUGAGUAACACGUGAGCAAUCUGCCCUUGACUCUGGGAUAACUGCGGGAAACUGUAGCUAAUACCGGAUACUUUCACUGGAAGGCAUCUUCUGGUGAAGAAAGAAUUUCGGUCAAGGAUGAGCUCGCGGCCUAUCAGCUUGUUGGUGAGGUAACGGCUCACCAAGGCGACGACGGGUAGCCGGCCUGAGAGGGUGACCGGCCACACUGGGACUGAGACACGGCCCAGACUCCUACGGGAGGCAGCAGCGGGGAAUAUUGCACAAUGGGCGCAAGCCUGAUGCAGCAACGCCGCGUGAGGGAUGAAGGCCUUCGGGUUGUAAACCUCUUUUAGCAGGGAAGAAGCGAAAGUGACGGUACCUGCAGAAAAAGCACCGGCUAACUACGUGCCAGCAGCCGCAGUAA